GAUGAACGCUGGCGGCGUGCUUAACACAUGCAAGUCGAACGAAGCAUUUGCGACAGAUUUUUUCGGAAUGAAGUUGCUUAUGACUGAGUGGCGGACGGGUGAGUAACGCCUGGGUAACCUGCCUUGUACUGGGGGAUAGCAGCUGGAAACGGCUGGUAAUACCGCAUAAGCGCACAAUGUUGCAUGACAUGGUGUGAAAAACUCCGGUGGUAUAAGAUGGACCCGCGUCUGAUUAGCUAGUUGGUGAGAUAACAGCCCACCAAGGCGACGAUCAGUAGCCGACCUGAGAGGGUGACCGGCCACAUUGGGACUGAGACACGGCCCAGACUCCUACGGGAGGCAGCAGUGGGGAAUAUUGCACAAUGGAGGAAACUCUGAUGCAGCGACGCCGCGUGAGUGAAGAAGUAAUUCGUUAUGUAAAGCUCUAUCAGCAGGGAAGAUAGUGACGGUACCUGACUAAGAAGCUCCGGCUAAAUACGUG
RNAcentral lists this ribosomal RNA (481 nucleotides) under uncultured bacterium. Its description in RNAcentral is "partial 16S ribosomal RNA". It matches the Rfam family "Bacterial small subunit ribosomal RNA", at positions 28 to 507 of the family's 1533-position model. The record is from RNAcentral.